Molecule: long non-coding RNA, 521 nt
Organism: Polistes dominula (European paper wasp)
Lineage: Eukaryota; Metazoa; Arthropoda; Insecta; Hymenoptera; Vespidae
Source: RefSeq, a predicted model, not a curated record
AAUAAUGAUAAUAAUAAUAAUAAUAAUAAUAAUAAUAAUAAUUGAAAAGGAAAAGAAGAAGAUGAGAAUUUCGUAAAUGUUACAAACGUGUCGAUUAUUUAUAAACGUAUAUUUCAACCAUGUCCUGAGUAAUAAUAGUUCUUUGUUUAUGAUUUGCUACAACUCUUUGUUAUUAUAUUAAAUAUUUUUUUUUUUACUUUUUUUUUUUUACAUAAAUAUUUAAAAGUAAAAGACUUAUAUAAUUGUUACGAUUGGUUCUUAAUAUAUUGCGAUAAUCCUGCUAUCUUAAUUUCUAUACGAGUCAUUAACUUAAUGUUAAUAUAUGUAAAUGCGUAAAAACUAUGAAUUUGUUGUUGUUGUUGUUGUUUCACAUGGUAUUAUUUAAUUAAUUACUUAAAAUAAUAUAUAUUUCGAUUUGUCAUUGAAUAAUAUACACUUGAGCGUUAUCAUGUAUUGUAAAAGUGAAAUGUGUGAAAACAUUUUAAAUGAUAGAACAUAUAAGACUGAUUAAUUAAAAAAAC